UGCAACAUAUUGGAUGCCAACCGCCAUUAUACCUCAUCUAAGAAGGUCACAGCAUCGAGUCACCGCACGACACAGAAAACGGACCAGACCCUAAAAUACACGCCACUAAAAUCACACAUGGAUCUAUAGGAACCAGUAUAUCGGUGAAUACAGCUAAGUUAGACGCGCCUGUCCAUUACCACAAGGUUACACAUAGCUGUAGUUUAUGCUAGGUUAUGUAUGCAGGGAGAAUUGCAGUUGCUGCUUGGAAGUGAAAUAUUUUAUGGAGGCUUGGAAGGACGCGGGGGAGCGAGGAGCCGAAGUGGGGAAACUGGAGAUUGCUACAACGUACUGGGAACUACAGCUUCUGCUGGCUACGAGUAACCCACGCGCACGGGACGGGGUGGAAACAUGGCCGCGAAUGGCAACAAUUUAACAUCUGGGAUGGGAGAAAUUAUCCAACUGAACGUUGGUGGGACACGGUUCAGCACCUCUAGACAGACUCUCAUGUGGAUCCCAGACUCUUUCUUUUCAAGUUUGCUGAGUGGGAGAAUAUCAUCUCUACUGGAUGAAACUGGAGCUUUGAGUUCUGAGUCUUUCUACUAAACAUUCCACAGAUAUAUUUAUUGACAGGGACCCAACAGCCUUUGCGCCCAUCUUGAAUUUCCUUCGAACCAAAGAGUUAGACUUAAGGGGGGUAAACAUUAACAUUCUCCGCCAUGAAGCUGAGUUUUAUGGGAUAACGCCAUUAGUGAGGACAUAAAACGUUCGUCCUGUGGCAGUGUUCUGUUCCAUGGAUACCUUCCCCCUCCAGGUACUGUAGAUAGAACGUUCGUCCUGUGGCAGUGUUCUGUUCCAUGGAUACCUUCCCCCUCCAGGU
Oncorhynchus kisutch (coho salmon) is the source of this 859-nucleotide long non-coding RNA. RefSeq lists it as uncharacterized. NCBI's taxonomy places the organism in Eukaryota, Metazoa, Chordata, Actinopteri, Salmoniformes, Salmonidae. The transcript has 6 exons. The record is from RefSeq and is a predicted model, not a curated record.